UACGAAGGGGGCUAGCGUUGUUCGGAAUCACUGGGCGUAAAGCGCACGCAGGCGGAUCGUCAAGUCAGGGGUGAAAUGCCGAGGCUCAACCUCGGAACUGCCUUUGAUACUGGCGAUCUUAGAGUCCGGGAGAGGUGAGUGGAACUCCGAGUGUAGAGGUGAAAUUCGUAGAUAUUCGGAAGAACACCAGUGGCGAAGGCGGCUCACUGGCCCGGUACUGACGCUCAGGUGCGAAAGCGUGGGGAGCAAACAGG
RNAcentral lists this ribosomal RNA (254 nucleotides) under uncultured bacterium. Its description in RNAcentral is "partial 16S ribosomal RNA". It matches the Rfam family "Bacterial small subunit ribosomal RNA", at positions 524 to 776 of the family's 1533-position model. The record is from RNAcentral.